CUGAUACAAAGUUGCUGCGACACAGCCUGCACUCGGCAGCUUCCUUAAAGCCGCAGCAGCGGUGGGCGCUUGGGGCGCCGGGCGGUGGCUACGACACCAGGUGGUUUCCGCACUCUGCCCUCGCCCCCCCCCCGCUCGACCGCCCCAAACUUCCUCACGCCCACCCUGCUCUCCUCCUGGCCGACCCCAGGAUAUCUGGAGAGGCGGAAAGUGUGGUGACGCGGAAGAAGUCGGUUUUUCCGCGAGCAAUCAAGGUGUUGUCCCCUCACGCUCUCCACCUGCAGCUCCAGUUAGUUAAGCUUCGGGAUUCCAGACCCCGAACCCAGGGAGAUUCGAACUCUCGGCCGCUCCAGUCGGAAACUCCCUGAAGAUAGGGGCGACAGCGGCGGCGCGGACGAGCUGGUUGUGACCACUGACUGCGGUGCCCUCCAGUCCCGGGCGCGGAGCGGCCCCCGGCGUCCCCGCAGCCAGGAGUCCCCGCCGAGUGCCCCAACUUUCCCGCGGGGCCCGCCGUCACGCGCACUCUCCCGGGCCGGCUAGCAGUCGGGCAUCGAUCGCACCCGGCCGAGCGCGGGCGGCGGGCGGGAGCAGGGGGAGUCCCGUACCCAGCACGCGGGGCGGCGGCGGCUCAGCCAGCGUUGCCGAAUUAUUCAUUAUUAAAGGAAUGGACGUGUCUCUUUUA
Long non-coding RNA from Lemur catta (Ring-tailed lemur), 682 nucleotides. RefSeq lists it as uncharacterized. The record is from RefSeq and is a predicted model, not a curated record. NCBI's taxonomy places the organism in Eukaryota, Metazoa, Chordata, Mammalia, Primates, Lemuridae. The transcript has 2 exons.